RNAcentral lists this long non-coding RNA (316 nucleotides) under Heterocephalus glaber (naked mole-rat). RNAcentral's name for it is "lncRNA (ENSHGLG00100039630.1)". The record is from RNAcentral. Lineage: Eukaryota; Metazoa; Chordata; Mammalia; Rodentia; Bathyergidae.
GGAAAAAAAUAAGUGUGAGUAGAGCUGUACCUUACAGGCUUCUAAAAGAGGAAAUUAGUGGGCUGCUGCAAGUAGCUUGUUUCAUAUGCUGUACAGGAAGUGAGAUGAUCGCUGCUCACUGCAGAAUAUCCCUCAAAUAAUAUUCCUUCAAGAUUUGUGUCCAGUCCAAGUUGAUGGUUAGGGUAAACCGGAAGAACUUUAAAUGCUUGGGACAUGUGUGGCGGCUCAGCGAAAACCACAAACCAGCCAGGGGCCUGGCCAGAUUCAGCCCAGAUGUGUGAGUGAUGCUGGCUCUGCUGCGGGCAGGAUUUACAAG